GUUCUUUACUAUUGUAAGUCGCUUUGGAUAAAAGCGUCUGCCAAAUGAAAUGUA
Molecule: regulatory RNA element, 54 nt
Organism: Astyanax mexicanus (Mexican tetra)
Lineage: Eukaryota; Metazoa; Chordata; Actinopteri; Characiformes; Acestrorhamphidae
Rfam family: UnaL2 LINE 3' element
About the family: The eel long interspersed element (LINE) UnaL2 and its partner short interspersed element (SINE) share a conserved 3' tail containing a stem-loop that is critical for their retrotransposition. Presumably, the first step of retrotransposition is the recognition of their 3' tails by UnaL2-encoded reverse transcriptase. The solution structure of a 17-nucleotide RNA derived from the 3' tail of UnaL2 was determined by NMR.
Source: Rfam